Molecule: ribosomal RNA, 497 nt
Filed under: uncultured bacterium
Lineage: Bacteria
Description: partial 16S ribosomal RNA
Rfam family: Bacterial small subunit ribosomal RNA
Source: RNAcentral
GAUGAACGCUGGCGGCGUGCCUAAUACAUGCAAGUCGAGCGAACAGACGAGGAGCUUGCUCCUCUGACGUUAGCGGCGGACGGGUGAGUAACACGUGGAUAACCUACCUAUAAGACUGGGAUAACUUCGGGAAACCGGAGCUAAUACCGGAUAAUAUAUUGAACCGCAUGGUUCAAUAGUGAAAGACGGUUUUGCCGUCACUUAUAGAUGGAUCCGCGUCGCAUUAGCUAGUUGGUAAGGUAACGGCUUACCAAGGCAACGAUGCGUAGCCGACCUGAGAGGGUGAUCAGCCACACUGGAACUGAGACACGGUCCAGACUCCUACGGGAGGCAGCAGUAGGGAAUCUUCCGCAAUGGGCGAAAGCCUGACGGAGCAACGCCGCGUGAGUGAUGAAGGUCUUCGGAUCGUAAAACUCUGUUAUUAGGAAAGAACAAAUGUGUAAGAAACUAUGCACGUCUUGACGGUACCUAAUCAGAAAGCCACGGCUAACUACGUG